GGGGGGUCAUUGGGGGGCUGUGGGGGCUUUAUGGGGUGGGGGGGUAUGGGGGGGUAUGGGGGCUUUAUGGGGCCGGGCUGUUCUGGGGGCAGCGUAUGGGGCACAGCAGUGACCCCCACCCCAUAGCCCACCCCAUAGCCCACCCCAUAGCCCGUGUGCAGCCCCACCCCACAGCCCACAGCCCAUCCCCCAACCCCACAUCCCCUAUUCCCCACACAUCACACCCCAUACCCAUCCCACACACCCCAUAUCCCACCCCAACCCCACAAUCCCACCCCAUAUACCCCACAUCCCAUCCCACACACCCCAUAUCCCACCCCAUACCCCAUCCCACACCCCGCAUCCCAUCCCAAUCCCAUAACCCAUCCCUCACCCAUCCCAUACACCCCAUAGCCCACCCCAUAUACCCCACAUAUACCCCAUAUCCCAUCUCAUACACCCCAUACCCCAUCCCAACCCCACAAUCCCAUCCCAUACACCCCAUAGCCCACCCCAUACACCCCAUACCCACCCCAUACACCCCAUACCCCAUCCCAACCCCACAAUCCCAUCCCAUACACCCCAUACCCACCCCAUAGCCCACCCCAUAUACCCCACAAUCCCACCCCAUACACCCCCCAUCCCAUCCCAUCCCAUCCCAUCCACCCCAUACCCACCCCACCCCAUAACCCACCCCACAUCUCUCACCUCCAUCACACCGUUCCCGGGUCCGACAGAGCUCUGGGUUUAUGGGGUCGGGUCCGGAUUUAUGGGGUCGGGUCCGGAUUUAUGGGGUCGGGGCAGCCCCUCAGCAGUCUGUAUUUAUAGGGUCGGCUCAGCGCCCCGCAGCGCUCCGUGCUGAUGGGGUUUGCUCCGUAUUUAUAGGAUCUGCUCCGUAUUUAUAGGGUCGGCUCUGUAUUUAUAGGGUCAGGUCCGGAUUUAUAGGGUCGGGUCCGGAUUGAUGGGGUCUGGUCCGUAUUUAUAAGGUUCACUCCGUAUUUAUAGGGUCGGGUCUGUAUUUAUAGGGUCCGGUCCAGAUUUAUAGGGUCGGGUCGGGUCGGGGUGGCCCCGCAGCGCUCCGUCCCAAUGGGGUUUGCUCCGUAUUUAUAGGGUCGGCUCCGUAUUUAUAGGGUCGGGUCCGGAUUCAUAGGGUUCAGUCCGUAUUUAUAGGGUCCGGUCCGGAUUUAUAGGGUCGGGUCGCGUCGGGGCAGCCCCGCAGCGCUCCGUACUGAUGGGGUUUGCUCCGUAUUUAUAGGGUUCAGUCCGUAUCUAUAGGGCUCAGUCCGUAUUUAUAGGGUCGGCUCCGUAUUUGUAGGGUCCGGUCCAGAUUGAUGGGGUCGCACUGGAGCGGCCCCGCAGUGCUCUGUCCCGAUGGGGUUCGCUCCGUAUUUAUAGGGUCGGGUCGGUGUUUAUAGGGCCGGGCCCCUAUUGACGGGGCCGGGGCGGUGUUUAUAGGGCGGGGUCGGUGUUUAUAGGGCGGGGUCGGGGCGGCCCCAUCGGCCGGGCGGAAGUUGCGAAGUGCGGCGCUGAAUCAGAAAGGGGAGAAACCGGAGAGGGGAGCCGCGAUCCUACACGGGUGGGGCGCGGGGGGGUGCGGGGGUGGGGGGUGGGGUAUGGGAUAUAGGGUAUGGGAUAUGGGGUAUGGGGUAUGGG
Long non-coding RNA from Gallus gallus (chicken), 1632 nucleotides. Lineage: Eukaryota; Metazoa; Chordata; Aves; Galliformes; Phasianidae. The record is from Ensembl.